AUACUUUUAAAUAAUCAAUAUUGUUAAACGAUACAAUAAUAGUUAGAAGCAAAAUUUUAUAGUUGACAAUAAUCCAUAUUGUGUGAUUCUGAGGUAUUGGUUAUGUCUCAACGGGUGUCUCCCUCUCUCUCUCUCUUCUUUCUACAUUUUUUCAUUUUUAUUUUUUUUCUCGGUGCGUAAAGAAUUUCUCUGCAUUGUAUUAUCAAAGCAAGCAAUGCUAUGACAUGACGACAAGUCCAAGUUCUACAAAUUAUUUUACAAGUAAAUACUAGAGAUUGAAUUACAGGUUUUGUUAAAAAACUAUUUAUCAAACAACAUAUAAGCUGAUAAACUAUUUAUCUGCUACACAAUCAUAUAUUAGUUGAGGGCAAGUCUCUUGUAACAUCUAACAAACCAGUUAUCGGUUCUUCGCGUCGGCUAACAAAAUAUGUAUCAGUUAAAAGAUCAUUGAUCAGAUAACAAAACAUUUAUCAAACCAUUUUUUUUUCUUUGUAUGAAAGAAU
RNAcentral lists this long non-coding RNA (503 nucleotides) under Brassica rapa (field mustard). RNAcentral's name for it is "long non-coding RNA (BRAP_LNC002392)". Lineage: Eukaryota; Viridiplantae; Streptophyta; Magnoliopsida; Brassicales; Brassicaceae. The record is from RNAcentral.